This 762-nucleotide ribosomal RNA is filed under the name Gordonia rubripertincta. Its description in RNAcentral is "bacterial SSU rRNA". It matches the Rfam family "Bacterial small subunit ribosomal RNA", at positions 125 to 899 of the family's 1533-position model. Lineage: Bacteria; Bacillati; Actinomycetota; Actinomycetes; Mycobacteriales; Gordoniaceae. The record is from RNAcentral.
UCUGCCCUGAACUCUGGGAUAAGCCUGGGAAACUGGGUCUAAUACCGGAUAUGACCUUACAUCGCAUGGUGUUUGGUGGAAAGCUUUUGCGGUUCAGGAUGGGCCCGCGGCCUAUCAGCUUGUUGGUGGGGUAAUGGCCUACCAAGGCGACGACGGGUAGCCGACCUGAGAGGGUGAUCGGCCACACUGGGACUGAGACACGGCCCAGACUCCUACGGGAGGCAGCAGUGGGGAAUAUUGCACAAUGGGCGCAAGCCUGAUGCAGCGACGCCGCGUGAGGGAUGACGGCCUUCGGGUUGUAAACCUCUUUCACCAGGGACGAAGCGUGAGUGACGGUACCUGGAGAAGAAGCACCGGCCAACUACGUGCCAGCAGCCGCGGUAAUACGUAGGGUGCGAGCGUUGUCCGGAAUUACUGGGCGUAAAGAGCUCGUAGGCGGUUUGUCGCGUCGUCUGUGAAAUUCUGCAACUCAAUUGUAGGCGUGCAGGCGAUACGGGCAGACUUGAGUACUACAGGGGAGACUGGAAUUCCUGGUGUAGCGGUGAAAUGCGCAGAUAUCAGGAGGAACACCGGUGGCGAAGGCGGGUCUCUGGGUAGUAACUGACGCUGAGGAGCGAAAGCGUGGGUAGCGAACAGGAUUAGAUACCCUGGUAGUCCACGCCGUAAACGGUGGGUACUAGGUGUGGGGCUCAUUUCACGAGUUCCGUGCCGUAGCUAACGCAUUAAGUACCCCGCCUGGGGAGUACGGCCGCAAGGCUAAAC